This 18-nucleotide unclassified non-coding RNA is filed under the name Candidatus Scalindua brodae. RNAcentral describes it as "RNA (5'-R(P*CP*GP*GP*GP*GP*CP*AP*GP*AP*AP*AP*AP*UP*UP*GP*GP*AP*C)-3') from Candidatus Scalindua brodae (PDB 7Y8Y, chain E)". Lineage: Bacteria; Pseudomonadati; Planctomycetota; Candidatus Brocadiia; Candidatus Brocadiales; Candidatus Scalinduaceae. The record is from RNAcentral.
CGGGGCAGAAAAUUGGAC